Molecule: ribosomal RNA, 253 nt
Filed under: uncultured bacterium
Lineage: Bacteria
Description: partial 16S ribosomal RNA
Rfam family: Bacterial small subunit ribosomal RNA
Source: RNAcentral
UACGUAGGGCGCGAGCGUUAUCCGGAAUUAUUGGGCGUAAAGAGCUCGUAGGCGGUUUGUCACGUCUGCUGUGAAAACUGGAGGCUCAACCUCCAGCCUGCAGUGGGUACGGGCAGACUAGAGUGCGGUAGGGGAGAUUGGAAUUCCUGGUGUAGCGGUGGAAUGCGCAGAUAUCAGGAGGAACGCCGAUGGCGAAGGCAGAUCUCUGGGCCGUAACUGACGCUGAGGAGCGAAAGCAUGGGGAGCGAACAGG